Molecule: ribosomal RNA, 468 nt
Filed under: uncultured bacterium
Lineage: Bacteria
Description: partial 16S ribosomal RNA
Rfam family: Bacterial small subunit ribosomal RNA
Source: RNAcentral
GACGAACGCUGGCGGCGUGCUUAAUACAUGCAAGUCGAACGGAAAGGCCCUGAUUUUGUGGGGUGCUCGAGUGGCGAACGGGUGAGUAUCACGUGAGUAACAUGCCCUUGACUUUGGGAUAACUUCAGGAAACUGGGGAUAUUACCGGAUAGGAUCUUCUGCUGCAUGGUGGGGGAUGGAAAGUUUCGGCGGUUGGGGAUGGACUCGAGGCUUAUCAGCUUGUUGGUGGGGUAGUGGCAUACCAAGGCUUCGACGGGUAGCCGGCCUGAGAGGGUGAACGGCGACAUUGGGACUGAGGGACGGCCCAGACGCCAACGGGAGGCAGCAGUGGGGAAUAUUGCACAAUGGGCGGAAGCCAGAUGUAGCAACGCCGCGUGCGGGAUGACGGGCUUCGGGUUGUAAACCUCUUUCGCCUGUGAUGAAGCGUGAGUGACGGUAAUGAGUAAAGAAGCAACGGCUAACUACGUG